AUUCGUUAGUCCUUUUGCUAACUCUGGAUAAUACUGCGUAUCGCACGACCUCGUGUCGGCGAAGUUUCAUUCGAGUAUCUGCCCUAUCAACUGGUUGGCAGUGUAUUGGACUGCCAUGGUUCUAACGGGUAACGGAGGAUCAGGGUCUGACUCCGGAGAGGGAGCCUUAGAAACGGCUACCAUGUCUAAGGAUAGCAGCAGGCGCGAAAAUUACCCAAUAUCAAUACGAUGAGGUAGUGACGAGAAAUAACGAGUCCGUUCUCUUUGAGGUCGGACAUUGGAAUGGGUACAAUGUAGACAAUUUAACGAGUAUCUACGAGAGGGCAAGUCUGGUGCCAGCAGCCGCGGUAAUUCCAGCUCUCGUAAUACAUAGAAUUAUUGUUGCGGUUAAAAAGUUCAUAGUUGGAUUGUCGAACCGUGCGGGGUGCGGCCGAAAGGUCGUCACUUUGGCGCGGUAUUUUGUGUGUUUGCGGGCGGGAAGCUCCUUCGCGGGGCGACUCGUCUCGUUGCACGCAGGAUUACUUUGAACGGCUCAAGUGCUCAAGGCGUGUCUUAGGACUGAAUACCGGUGCAUGGAAUAAUGGAACAAGGUUGCGGCCGAGUUUUAUUGGUUUUGUCGGCUGCCACAAUGGUUAACAGGAACAGCCGGGGGCAUUCGUAUCGCUGCGCGAGAGGUGAAAUUCGGGGACCGUAGCGAGACGCACUAAAGCGAAGGCAUUUGCCAAGAGUGUUUUCAUUAAUCAAGAACGAAAGUCAGAGGUUCGAAGGCGAUUAGAUACCGCCCUAGUUCUGACCGUAAAUGAUGCCAACUACCAAUCCGCUGGUGGGUUUCGAUUCCACGAGCGGGCGGGUUUCCGGAAACGACAAGUCUUUCGGUUCCGGGGGAAGUAUGGUUGCAAAGCUGAAACUUAAAGGAAUUGACGGAAGGGCACCACCAGGAGUGGAGCUUGCGGCUUAAUUUGACUCAACACGGGAAACCUCACCCGGCCAGCACAUCGUGAGGAUUGACAGACCGAUAGCUCUUUCAUGAUUCGGUGGAUGGUGGUGCAUGGCCGUUCUUAGUUCGUGCGUUGGCGUGUCUGCUUAAUUGCGAUAACGAGCGAGACGCCGACUGCUAAAUAGUGCGUCGAUUGGUUCGCUUGUCGGCGACCAUUUCUUAGCGGGAUUUGUGGUUUCUAGCCUCAAGAAAUGGCGCAAUAACAGGUCUGUGAUGCCCUUAGAUGUUCGGGGCCGCACGCGUGCUACAAUGGUGGUAUCAGCGUGACUGUCCGACGCCGAAAGGCGAUGGCAAACAGUUGAGAUAUUAUUAUGGCUGGAAUUGAGUG
This 1325-nucleotide ribosomal RNA is filed under the name Aphelenchoides sp. M18. RNAcentral describes it as "SSU rRNA". It matches the Rfam family "Eukaryotic small subunit ribosomal RNA", at positions 229 to 1583 of the family's 1831-position model. The record is from RNAcentral. Lineage: Eukaryota; Metazoa; Nematoda; Chromadorea; Rhabditida; Aphelenchoididae.